UAACUUACCUGGUAGGCAUAUUGCAUCGAUCACUCAGGAUGUAAGUGAAUCGUGGAGCAGACCAUUGCACAAACGGUGGCUGUAAUACGAUUGUGUGGCUCGUUGAGCUACCUACACUACAAAAUUUCUGGUAGGUGAGAUGGAGCCAUUUCGGCCUUCUCAG
Non-coding RNA from Pseudocohnilembus persalinus, 163 nucleotides. NCBI's taxonomy places the organism in Eukaryota, Ciliophora, Oligohymenophorea, Philasterida, Pseudocohnilembidae. The record is from Rfam.